This 120-nucleotide ribosomal RNA is filed under the name Oncorhynchus mykiss (rainbow trout). Lineage: Eukaryota; Metazoa; Chordata; Actinopteri; Salmoniformes; Salmonidae. The record is from RNAcentral.
CUUUACGGCCACACCGGCCUGAGUACGCCCUGAUCUCGUCCGAUCUCGGAAGCUAAGCAGGGUCGGGCCUGGUUAGUACUUGGAUGGGAGACCGCCUGGGAAUACCAGGUGCUGUAAGCU